AGAGUUUGAUUAUGGCUCAGGAUGAACGCUAGCUACAGGCUUAACACAUGCAAGUCGAGGGGCAGCAUUAUCGAAGCUUGCUUUGAUAGAUGGCGACCGGCGCACGGGUGAGUAACGCGUAUCCAACCUUCCCCAUAGUAGGGCAUAGCCCGUAGAAAUGCGGAUUAAUACCCUAUGUAUUCCGAGGAUGACAUCUGAUUCGGAACAAAGGUUCACCGCUAUGGGAUGGGGAUGCGUCUGAUUAGGUAGUAGGCGGGGUAACGGCCCACCUAGCCGACGAUCAGUAGGGGUUCUGAGAGGAAGGUCCCCCACAUUGGAACUGAGACACGGUCCAAACUCCUACGGGAGGCAGCAGUGAGGAAUAUUGGUCAAUGGGCGAGAGCCUGAACCAGCCAAAAGUAGCGUGCAGGACGACGGCCCUAUGGGUUGUAAACUGCUUUUAUACAGGGAUAAAGUCGGGGACGCGUUCCCCGUUUGCAGGUACUGUAUGAAUAAGGACCGGCUAAUUCCGUGCCAGCCGCCGC
Molecule: ribosomal RNA, 524 nt
Filed under: uncultured bacterium
Lineage: Bacteria
Description: bacterial SSU rRNA
Rfam family: Bacterial small subunit ribosomal RNA
Source: RNAcentral